UACGGAGGGUGCAAGCGUUGUUCGGAAUUAUUGGGCGUAAAGGGCAGGUAGGUGGUCUUGAAAGUCUGCUGUGAAAUCCCCGAGCUUAACUUGGGAAGUGCGGCAGAUACUCCAAGACUAGAGUACUGGAGGGGUUCGUGGAAUUCCCGGUGUAGUGGUGAAAUGCGUAGAUAUCGGGAGGAACACCAGUGGCGAAGGCGACUACCUGGCCUGUCCUUGACGCUGAGGCGCGAAAGCUAGGGGAGCAAACGGG
Molecule: ribosomal RNA, 253 nt
Filed under: uncultured bacterium
Lineage: Bacteria
Description: partial 16S ribosomal RNA
Rfam family: Bacterial small subunit ribosomal RNA
Source: RNAcentral